Molecule: unclassified non-coding RNA, 240 nt
Filed under: soil metagenome
Description: partial contains 5.8S ribosomal RNA, internal transcribed spacer 2, and large subunit ribosomal RNA
Source: RNAcentral
AACAAGGCGUACCUGCGGACCUGCGGAGGGAUCAUUACCAGAGUGCCUUCAGGCUCUCCAACCCACUGUGAACAUACCUACGUUCCCCCGGCGGGCCCAGCGCGCGGCGAGGUCCUCCUCGCCCCGCGUCCGCCGAGGGCAUCUCAAACCCGAUUUUAUGUCGUGUCUUCUGAGGGGCGAAAGCCCGUAAAACAAAAUGAAUCAAAACUUUCAACAACGGAUCUCAGAUCGGAAGAGCAC